RNAcentral lists this ribosomal RNA (544 nucleotides) under uncultured bacterium. RNAcentral describes it as "bacterial SSU rRNA". It matches the Rfam family "Bacterial small subunit ribosomal RNA", at positions 30 to 573 of the family's 1533-position model. The record is from RNAcentral.
UGAACGCUGGCGGCGGCCUAAACAUGCAAGUCGAACGGUAACAGGAUGUGCUUGCACAUCGCUGACGAGUGGCGGACGGGUGAGUAAUGCUUGGGAACUUGCCUUUGCGAGGGGGAUAACAGUUGGAAACGACUGCUAAUACCGCAUAAUGUCUUCGGACCAAACGGGGCUCCGGCUCCGGCGCAAAGAGAGGCCCAAGUGAGAUUAGCUAGUUGGUAAGGUAACGGCUUACCAAGGCGACGAUCUCUAGCUGUUCUGAGAGGAAGAUCAGCCACACUGGGACUGAGACACGGCCCAGACUCCUACGGGAGGCAGCAGUGGGGAAUAUUGCACAAUGGGGGAAACCCUGAUGCAGCCAUGCCGCGUGUGUGAAGAAGGCCUUCGGGUUGUAAAGCACUUUCAGUUGUGAGGAAAAGUUAGUAGUUAAUACCUGCUAGCCGUGACGUUAACAACAGAAGAAGCACCGGCUAACUCCGUGCCAGCAGCCGCGGUAAUACGGAGGGUGCGAGCGUUAAUCGGAAUUACUGGGCGUAAAGCGCACGCA